GGCAGUAAAAGAAUUUUAUUAAAGAGUCAGAAAUAUUAUAUAUUAAAAUAUUUUUUUUACCAAACAGUUGAAAUAUACUAUCACACGUAAGCUAUAAGGACCGGUGCUUAUUAUGGGAUUUUAGGAAAUGGCAAGGAACCCUACGUGGCAGUGUUUCAUUGGAUGUCGAGAUUGUGUCUCUCUCCUUUGUUCCGCUGUGAAACUUUACGAGCUCGAGCUCCGACUCCCCUUCUUCUCCGUAUCAAGCUUCUCCAUAGCCGCUACAGCACUUCGUCAUCAAUCUGAGCUUCUCCGGCGAUAGCAUCAAGUCCUCUGGUCGUAACUGUGUUCACCAUUCCAAGCCGCCGCAUCUCCCCGCGAUUCCCUAUCUCUGUUCAGCUCUAAACCGCGACAAAGCUUUCUCCAUGGCGUCAAUCCUCCACUGUCGUCGGAAUCAACGAGCUUCCGCCUCUUCAAGCCACCGUCCCCGUUACACCGCGACAGUAGCUCGCCUUCGUCGUCGAGCUCGAGCUUCGCCGUCGUCGUCUUGCUCGCAGUCUCACCUCCACCUAGGAUCUUCUUCAUCCUCGUCGCGAAUCUCUCACCGCUCGCGAAAAAACCAAAGCUCCUUCGCUGAAUCGCUCAUCCUUUUCGUUCAUCUCUCGUAUCUUCGA
Molecule: long non-coding RNA, 653 nt
Filed under: Brassica napus (rape)
Lineage: Eukaryota; Viridiplantae; Streptophyta; Magnoliopsida; Brassicales; Brassicaceae
Description: long non-coding RNA (BNAP_LNC019122)
Source: RNAcentral